GAGAGAAGGAGGCUGGAAUGGCGGGGAGGAGGAAGGGUGCAGGAGGGAGAGAACAAUGCAAGUGAGCCUUGGAAAGGAGCUCGCGAAUCCUCUGAGGAACUGCGGUCUCAGGUUUUACUGCAGAUGAAUGGAAUACCUGUGGCGGGAAGAAAGGCGGAUAACACAAAGAGGCAGAUGAAGAUUCAUAUUAAUAUAAAAAAGGAAAUGUCGACCUCAGAGAGAAAACAGAGCAGAAACUACGGCAAACGAAGAAACAGUGAAAUGGUGUUUCCGCUGGCCGUACCUCAGGGGAGGAAGCGCUUUCAUUUAUCCUUGUGACCCUGGAUCAUAACAUGUCCCCACAGCCCGGUGCAAUUACAGCACCAGCAGCAGGUCCGGACAAAGCGGUUUCCCGAAGGCAGGAUAGCCGAGGCCCAGGUGCUUCCAGCCCCGGCCGCAGACUUUGGCUCUAGCGUCUUCACACUUAAUUGUCAGAGAGGGGCCUCGAACCAUCAUCGAGUCUCACACACACACACGCACACACGCACACACACGCCUUUCCAAAUGCAGACGUUCACUGCUAUUGUUGUUUCUCUCCCUAUUUGUUUGUGCACCGGAAGCCCUUUAAACUACAUUUAACAACAUUCUGUAGGAAGCGCUGAGCCAAAAAUUCUGUAUUUUCGACUAUGUAUGGGUGGAAACUUGCUGAAACGGUUCAGGCUCUAUGCCUUGUCGCAGGAAUCUCAGAACGUUUGUUCAGAAAGCCCG
RNAcentral lists this long non-coding RNA (747 nucleotides) under Scleropages formosus (Asian bonytongue). RNAcentral describes it as "lncRNA (ENSSFOG00015032895.1)". Lineage: Eukaryota; Metazoa; Chordata; Actinopteri; Osteoglossiformes; Osteoglossidae. The record is from RNAcentral.